AACGAGGGCCUGGCUUGCCAGGUACCCUAGUGGCGCACGGGUGAGUAACGCGUGGGGACCUGCCCUGAAGUGGGGAAUAACGGCUGGAAACGGCCGCUAAUACCGCAUAUGCCCUGAGGGGCAAAGGCUUCGGCCGCUUUAGGAUGGACCCGCGUCGGAUUAGCUAGUUGGUGAGGUAACGGCUUACCAAGGCGACGAUCCGUAGCUGGUCUGAGAGGAUGAUCAGCCACACUGGGACUGAGACACGGCCCAGACUCCUACGGGAGGCAGCAGUGGGGAAUAUUGGACAAUGGGGGAAACCCUGAUCCAGCAAUGCCGCGUGUGUGAAGAAGGCCUUAGGGUUGUAAAGCACUUUCACCCGUGAAGAUGAUGACGGUAGCGGGAGAAGAAGCCCCGGCUAACUCCGUGCCAGCAGCCGCGGUAAUACGGAGGGGGCUAGCGUUGUUCGGAAUUACUGGGCGUAAAGCGCACGUAGGCGGCGUAUCGAGUUAGGUGUGAAAGGCCUGGGCUUAACCUGGGAACUGCACUUAAUACUGGUAUGCUAGAGUCCGGAAGGGGGUAGCGGAAUUCCCAGUGUAGAGGUGAAAUUCGUAGAUAUUG
RNAcentral lists this ribosomal RNA (600 nucleotides) under Thalassobaculum sp. RNAcentral's name for it is "bacterial SSU rRNA". It matches the Rfam family "Bacterial small subunit ribosomal RNA", at positions 65 to 699 of the family's 1533-position model. Lineage: Bacteria; Pseudomonadati; Pseudomonadota; Alphaproteobacteria; Rhodospirillales; Thalassobaculaceae. The record is from RNAcentral.